CCGGCAGACAGAAAAGUAAGUGCCUCAAAGUUCUGAAGAAGCAUCAUUCAAGAUUGAGGAGCCAAGGCCAAGGUUGAAAAGGCGACUCAAGUUCCUUCAGAGUUGCUGCAGACAGUGCAAGGUCCACCCCCUGGUGAGCAAGAAGGAAACUGAUAUCCGAGUCAUCUACGUGAAGCCCAGUGACCAGGGGGUGGAGACGACCGACUCUUUUAGUUCAGAUGAUCUCAUAACAGAAGAUUUAUAGGUAUCUGGCAAGGAUUUGAUUAGUGCAGUUCCCCACUUAGGAAAAUUCAAUAUCCAAAGAAAGAGUGGCAAAAGAGAUGGUCUCUGCCUUGCAUUUUUAUGCAGUAUGGUCUAGCUUUCCACCAUAUACCAACCAGCCCCAGUUGGACUUUGACUUACCACCAGCCUUUUUGAGACUUUGGAAAUGCGACUGAGAAGAAAAUCACAUUGUCCAUGUAGCUGAACUUGGAUGGCAGGGGGCAGGAAACCCAGACCUUGGCCUUACAAUUGGACGUGUGACUAUGGAUGUAGAUUGAAGAUGUUCACAUGUAGCAUUAAGCGCAGGGGUGGAGAUUGGGUAU
Rhineura floridana is the source of this 584-nucleotide long non-coding RNA. RefSeq lists it as uncharacterized. NCBI's taxonomy places the organism in Eukaryota, Metazoa, Chordata, Lepidosauria, Squamata, Rhineuridae. The transcript is spliced from 3 exons. The record is from RefSeq and is a predicted model, not a curated record.